ACGUCUUCAAGGAACCUUCUUAAAGUCCAGUUGGAUUGAUUUAAACAACUUUGGAGAAUGUCAAAUCCUUUUCCAGACAUAUAAAGCUCUUAAUGACCAAUCUCCAUCGUAUCUUAAAGACCUUAUAGUACCAUAUCAUCCUAGCAGAACUCUUCGCUCUCAGACUGCAGGCUUACUUGUUCCCAGAAUUUCUAAAAGUAGAAUGGGAGGCAGAACCUUCAGUUAUCAGGCGCCUCUCCUGUGGAACCAGCACCCAGUUUGAGUUCGGGAGGCGGACACCCUCUCUAUUUUUUAAGACCAGGCUUAAAACCUUCCUUUUUCACAAAGCUUAUAGUUAGGGCUGACUCGAGUGACCCUGAGGGGUCAGUUGGAGUCCACAUAUAUGGGGCACAACUGACUUCUUUUUUGACGUCCCUUAGUUAUGACCCUAGUUAUGCUGCUAUAUGCCUAGGCUGCUGGGGGACCUCUCCUGAUGCACUGAGCCCUUCUCUAAUUACCUAUGUAUUUACUAUAUACACUGCUCAAAAAAUUUAAAGGAACACUUUUUAAUCUAAGUAUUGCAUCAAGUCAGUCAAACAUGUGGGAUACUGCUCUGGUCAAGUAAGUAACAGAAGUGGUUUUUAGUCAGUUUCAGCUGCUUCGGUGUUCAUGAAAUUAACAACAGGUGCACUAGAGGUGUAACAAUGAGACAACCCCCAAAACAGGAAUGAGUUUACAGGUGAAGGCCACUGACAUUUUUUCCCUCCUAUUGUUUUGACUGUUUUUCACUAGUUUUGCAUUUGGCUAGGGUCAGUGUCGCUGCUGGCAACAUGAGGCGAUACCUGAACCCUACAGAGGUAGCACAGGCAGUCCAACUCCUCCAUGAUGGCACAUCAAUGCAUGCCAUUGCCAGAAGGUUUGCUGUGUCUCCCAGCAAAGUCUCAAGAGCAUGGAGGAGACUCCAGGAGACAGGCAGUUAGUCUAGGAGAGCUCGACAAGACUGUAGAAGGUCCUCAACGCAUCAGCAGGACAGGUAUCUGCUCCUUUGUGCAAGGAGGAACAGGAUGAGCACUGCAAUAGCUCUAGGAAAUGCCCCCCAGCAGACCACUGGUGUGAGUGUCUCUGACCAAACAAUCAGAAAGAGAUGCAAUGAGGGUGGUCUGAAGACCUGACGGGAGGCAUGUCCAUGGAGGAACGCACAGACCUCUACAGGCUAGACAACGACACUCUGACUGCCAUAAGGUAUCAGGAUGAAAUCAUUGGAACCAUUGUCACACCCUAUGCUGGUGCAGUGGACCUGGAUUCCUUCUGGUGCACGACAAUGCCCGGCAUUAUGUGGUAAGAGAAUUCAUGCAGUUCCUGGAGGAUGAAGGAAUUGGUACCAUUAACUGGCCCCCACGCUUGCCUGACCUGAAUCCAAUAGAACACCUUUGGAACAUUAUGUUUCAGUCCAUCUGACACCACCAGGUUGCUCCUCAGACUGUCCAGGAGCUCAGUGAUGCGCUGGUCCAGUUCUGGGAGGAGAUACCUCAGGACACCACCCAUCGUCUCAUUAAGAGCACGCCCCGACAUCAUCAGGCUGCAUACAAGCACGUGGAGGCCAUACAAAGUACUGAGUACCAUUUUGAGUUGCUGCCAAGGAAUUUCAACAAGAUGGACUAGCCUGCCACAUCAGUUCUUCACUUUGAGUUUUGGGGUGUCUUGAAUUUAGCCCUCCUGUGGGUUGAUAAUUUUCAUUACCAUUAAACAAUGUGGCAUCUUUUCAUUCCUAACACAUUAUCCAGUCCAUAUCAAUGUAAAUAUCCAGUUUGUUUUUUCCCCGCAUUGAAAUAUGAUAUGUUUUCAAAGUGUUCCUUUAAUUUUUUUGAGCAGUGUAUAUAUACCGCUAUUGCAUUACAUUCACUCUGUUUCCCCCUAUGUCCUUUCUCCGAAUGUCCCUGGUCCCGGAGCGGGAUGUUUCUGAUCUGUGGUUGCUGUCCCACCAACUGGCUUAGGCUUCAUCAUGUCCACUGUGGAAUGGUGCUGCUGUCUUUCCUCCAGCCCACUGCUUCCAGCUGCUCAUUUCCACCAGUCUACUCUGCAUCGCCCUUACUAUACUCGAUAUGCUCAUCUACAUACUGUUUGCAUCUUACUACCAGCUACUUAUGUAGUAUUUUUAAUGCCAAAGCCUUACACCAUAACAGUAAACUUAUGAAUCAGUUUCAGUUUUGGCUUGUACUUUGUAUCAUUUAUGUUACUCUGAUCAUGCAUGUAUCACAAUGUGUGUUACAUGUUUUCUUGUCCCCCACCCCCCCUCUUCUCCCAUCUCUCUCCCUUCCCCUAACCCACUCCCGUUACCUCUUCUGUCCCUCUCAACCUGCCAGCCAAUGGCAGAUGAAUCCCCCCAUAUAAGCUGGGCUCUGCUCAAGGCUUCUUCCCAUUAAAAUGGAGUUUCUUCUUGCCACUGUCGCCUUAGGGCUUGCUCUGGGGGUUCAGGCAUAUGGGUUCUGUAAAGCAUCUAAAGUGAUUUUAGGCUUUAUAAAUAAAACUGACUUCACUUGACCACCUGAAUGCAAACACCUUGUAAACAUGACUUGAUGUUGUGAUACAGUAUAUUAGUAAGGGUUUCUUCAACAUAUCAUUAAGCGAGUGUUGCACAGUAGAUCUGAAAACUGCGCGCUUCCAUGAAGCUGAAUCGUCACACAAACAAAAAAGGAGUCCUGUAUUUCUCUGCUACAUUAAGAUAAGCCUUUAGAAGCCUUGCAGAGGUAUAAUACAAUUUCAACAUUUGCCACUCCCUAUGAAAACAGCUAUGAACAGAAAUGAUGGUUCCUUACAGCAGUCACUAAUUGGACUAUUUACUUUUCACACAAAGUUUUUUUUCUACAGACACUAGGACUAUUAGUUUGUGCUGCCUCUGUAUUUUUAUAGAUAAGAUAAACAAGGCAGGUGUUUUGCUUCUACUCUUGUUUCCAGAGGUAGGGAUUAGCUACGUUCACUUUUGAUAUACUGGUUUCUGUUUGUUCAGUACAACCACCUUAUUCUGUCCUCUCCUACAUUUUUAGAACCAUUGUUAGGCUUUCAAGUAUCAAAAUCAACAGAAAAUAAAUUGCCUUCACUUUCUUACUCUGAUUCCUUGAAAUUCUUUGACUGUUACUGUUCUCCUGUUGGUUUUCAUCAAGGGGAUGCAACAGUUGUGCACAUGAAUAUUUACUUCAGUUUUUUGAAAACAAAAAGAACUGGAACUAAAUGUUUUUCUGACAGCCAUUUGAGUGAUUUCAUUCCUCUAGUGCUGUGACCACUGUUUUCUAAACUGAUCCAUUGGGAUUGUCACUAUAAAAAGUAUUGCAGAAAUUAAUUAUAAUUCAAACAGCCUGAACUAAUCAGUAUACAGCAUAAACUACAUAUUGUGUGUGCUUUCUUGUGUAUCGUCUGUGAAAAAUGUCAUGCUCUAUAAGCACGUGUAUGGAGAUUAACAUCAUAGACUGCUUCUUUGUGCAGUACCUGUGCAGACUCUGUGCUGCUCUGGGCUGUGAUGGAGAUGUAUGGCUUGGAGGCUGUUGAGCAGGUGGAGGUUCGGGGCGGCACUGGUGGAGGGGUUUUCUUGUAGGUGGUGAUGCAAGAUGAAACUACAAAGAACAAGAAAGAAAAUUAAGAAGGAGAAGAAAUAAAAAAAUAAAUCCGUAUUUUAAAAACAAGUUACAGACACUGCACACAGAAAUUGCAGUGACUAAUCCUACAUAGACAAGGUUUUCUUUUGUAAUUCUUUAUGUCUUGAUAGACAAGAUGAAGACAUUUGGUUAAUUUAGUGAGUUAAUUUUCCUUCAGGCAUGAGCAAUAUUAACUGCACUGAACAGUAGUGACAAUCACCAUCACCUUGAUUAACACUGACACCUUGAUGCUUGGGCAAAAUUGUUAACAUAUUACUGAUGCAAAUAAAGCAUACUGAAUUGGAAUGAACUGAACUGACAAUCAGUUAGUUUGACCCAUGUAUGCACAUUAAUUCAAAUUUGUCUCCAAAAGAUUACAUACCUACAAAACAGUGCUCCUAAUAAUAAUUGGAUGCAUCAUUAUCGCUGGUUGGAUUAUGUUAGGUCAGCAGGAAGUGGUUGGAGUGGAUAGAGGGUGUACAGAGACCAGGGUUUACAUUCAGACUCCCAACAAAAUCAGGGGUUAAGGUUAGGUAAAGCUGCUGAUUUUGACUAAAUGUCAAUGAAUGUGUAAAGAAGUUACUGUAGACUUUUUCUGUAUUAAACCAGACCAAGAUCUUAGUCUAUACCAAGAAUUGCAUAUCUAAACAAUACUCUAAAAAGAUGAACAAUGCUGUAAGUAGGUAUUGUCCUGCAAGAUCAGAUAUGUUGUCAGUGAACAUACUGAUAUGUUAAGUGUCAUUGUACCAAACGCUUUCAUUACCAACAUUUCAUCAUUAUGUUGGUAGAAAAGAUUGUAUAAAAAAUACCAUUUCUGUGAGACAGAGGUGGAAUCUCUGACUCCAGAAUGUGACCUUUGUUUGUUCUUAUAAACUAAACAAAGUUUCAAGGAUCACUGCUUUAGUUCAUGUCAGUGAGACUCGACAUGAGUUAGAAAGGAAGGAGAACAUUUCUUUUGACCUUUGUCACUUUUGCUCUUCAACAUUAUUUGAUUAAACAGGCAGGCAGAAAAUGUUUGUGCAUUGUAACUGUAUGUGAUGCACUCUCUCAUGUACAUCUUGUAAGGGUGGCCAGGUGAUGCCCUCAUUAGCACUGUCACCUCACAGCUAGAAGGUACUGGGUUUGAUUCCUGGCCUAGGAUCUUUCUGUGUGGAGUUUGUAUGUUCUUCCUGUGCCUGCUUCCUCCCACAGUCCAAAAACACGCUGAGGUUAACUGGUGAUUCUAAACUGUCCAUAAUGUGAAUGUGAGUGUUUGGUUGUCUGUCUAUAUGUAGCUCUGUUAUAAAACGGUGAGCUGUCCAGUUGUCCCCUGCCUUCACCCUAGGUCAGCUGGGAUAGACUCCAGCCCCCUCGCGACCCUACAGAGGAUUAAGUGGUGCAUAGAUGAUGGAUGGAUGGAUGGAUGGGUGGAUAGAUAGAUGGGUGUAAUAUUAUGGCCAUACAGCAAACAUCAAAGUGAGCUUCAUUAAAAGUCCAUCAGCACUAGAUCUUCAUUUGAGGCUUGACACAAGGUAAAUUUGAAACAUUGAUUGCAACAAUGCAUUUUAGCUUGUUGUGUAGCUCUGCUCAUGUGAUGCUCUGGGACAAAUCUGAGCAGUAUAAUUCCUGUGCUUACAAAAACCCCUGGCAGAGGUUUAGAUGCAUAAAAUUAAUGAACCAAGAACGCAUGCUAAAGAGAUUCAAAAUUCAUGUACAACAAAAUUUUAAUGCAGGAGGAGGCUGUGAAGGGAGGAGUUACAUUUCUGGAAGCAAGCAACAGAGUAGCAAUGAAGAUGUAGACUGAAUAAGCUCUGAAAUUUUAUAGGUCAUUGGCAUACUUGAUGAGGACAUGGAACAUGGUCGACAAUGUAACAAUCAAUAUCAGAAUCUCAAGUGAAUGUCAUACUGUACACAUCCAAACAAAAAACCAAGCUACACAGCACAAUUGCUAACAUGAACAGUUUUUUAAAUGAACAAUGAGGAAAAAUGACAAUACAAUCUCCAAUAUCCUUAUCAUUACUUCUAUUUUUCCUUGUGUAGUUAUGUGAAAAUUUGUUGGUUAGUUAGAUGUAUGGGAUGUUAUUAUACGGCCACAAAAUCAGUAAGGAAGCUUACUCAGAUGCUUGAAUCAUUCAGUCACUAACUUAUGACGACUGUCAUAUUGUGAUUAUUUACUUGGCCUGUUGCAGCUCACAACAUUAAAAUUUACCACAACAGACAAUAACUUAAGGGACUACAGGUGCAACAAUGACUUUUUGAACUGUGACCUGCUCAUCAAAAGCAACGAAGAGCACAAACUCAAUAGUUUACAGAAGAUUGCCAUACUGUGACAACAGACAGUGAUAAUCCCUCUGAACACCACCACUCUCCCCCUGUAUCUUUUUAAAUGGACAGGUUACUCUAAAUGGCACCACAACUUUCCUUAAAGACUCACUGAAAUGAAAUCAGUGAAAUAAUCCUCUGCAACUGGGGAAUUCCACUUGCUGAGAUACUCCUAAUGUGUUCUCCUGCAGAGGGUAACUUUAACCACCAACUGGCAUGAUAGUCUUGUAAAAUGCUCAGGUCAACAGAAUAAAGCAAAACAAAUGAAAAUAAUAGUUCUUGCAUGAAGCAAAGAAGAAAAGAACAAAAGAGACUCUUUCUGUAGGAGAAUCUGCUAUUAGAAACAUAAGGAAUAAGGCUUUAAUCACAGGCAUAAAACAAUAAUCCUACCACAAUUAUUUUGACAACAUUUGACAUCUGACAAUAUUUCUAAAAAGUAUCUCAAUAUGCCGAAUAAGUGCUUUGAGGAUAUGAGUGACCAGAUGUGUUUCAAUUUUUUCCAGUUAAAUAACAAUAAAACAGAAUGAAUUGUCUUUUAAAUCAAAUUUGUAGAGUGGAUAAAUGAAAAGCCUGUUUGGUUACCAUUGCUUUGAACCUUGUGUCUGUCCUCUGCAUGCCCACUGGUGGAGCUGUCACUAAGCACACACACUAUAUUCAUUCAUCCAUUUUUCUCCCAUGCAGCAGUGGAUCAUGUUAUUCAUAUUGUUUGACAUCUGUAGCCAUGUUUUUCAUGUGGCCACUGGAACCAGAAAAUCCAAAUACAGAUGUGAAAUGACAUUUGAUAUAAACCUUUCCAAAGUUAGAAAUACAGCUGAAAAGAACAUAUGUGAAAACUUCCUUCAAUCUCCUAAGCACUAAAACAGUUUUUGAAAGCACUCUACUAUAAUACAAGAUAUUUAGCCAUGAUAGCAGCACAACUCUGGAACAGUCAAUAUUGGUCAAUCCACCACUUUUGUCAAGACUGAAAUAUCUCACCAGCUAUUGAAUGGACUAUCAUCAUUGCCAUUAUUUUUUUGCUGGAAAGAUUCACUAUGAUAUUAAUUCCAAGAAAUUUAAAACUGUUUGCCUGUUCCACCUUCGCUCUGCUUAUGUCCACAGGGCAGACAGCGCAGAUUGUUUUAUUCCAGGUCAGAUCAGAUAUACAAUUCCUCCAGGGAGUUCUAGAACAAGACCCACUGGCAAAUCUUCACUGUGACAGCCUGGUACAACAUCCAUAGUACUGCAGAUGCUGCACUAAUUGAUCUGUCCAUCCCACAGUCCAUUUUUGUAAACAAGCUCCUGCCAUACUUUUAACCCUUUCACUUGGGCCAGUAACUCACCCCCAACCAACAGGGAUCAAUUCAGUGGUUUCUAGCAGAGAACCAUGAGCUAUGGCUUUCUUACUCUUAUCCCGGCUUCUUUUCACACUUGGCUGCAAAAUGUGCACACCACUGCGCACCAAAGGCUGAAUGACUGAACAGAACUAUGCCAUCUGAAAAAAGAAGAGACAUGAUUCUGGGAUUCCUAAACUUGACACCAUUCUCAACAUGGCUGUGCCUUGAGUUCCUAUUGAUGAAUUUCUCAAACAGGUUCUGCGUUCCUUCCCUGAGUCCCUGAGGCUAAUUUAAAGUCCUUUUCCUUAGCUUCCUCAAACUCCUCCUUUGCCAAAAUUUUUGCUUCAGCGACUGCCACAGCUACAAGCCUUCUGGCCCCAUGAUACCUGUCUGCUGCAGGUCAGAUUCCCGUGCUAGCCAAACCUAAAAACCUCCUUCAUCAGCUUGACAGCCACCUUCAGUGCUGGUGUCCACAUUGUUCCCAGUUCACCCUCACUAUACAUUUUAGUGAACCAGGUCUGUCCAGGAACCUUCCUCGACAUUUAAUCUAAUUCAUCACCAAGCAGUGAUCAAAUGACAGCUCCUUAGUAUUUCAGCUGUAGUGUCUAACCCUAACCCACAGCUUAAGGCUGUGGGCUGUGAUGGUGCUCUCUCCUCCUCCGGCCCUGCUCUCUCUCUCUCCUAGGUGUGUGUGGUGUGAAGCUGGCGGCAGGUGUGGCGUGUGACAAUCAGCUGAUGAGGUGAAGGUGGGAGCUGCCUGAUUGGGCUUCUGGUGUCUCCAUAAAAGCCGACUUCACUCGUCGUUCGAAGCUGGACCGUCGUCUAAUCUCCAUGAGCUGACUCCUGCCUGCUGUGUUGCCUGGGUUCCUUUGUCUGCUGGAUCUCCGUUCUGCCAAGGAUUCCGUUUUCCCCUGGAGGAUUUCCACCUCUCGCCAGCUUCACCCUGGGAACAACAGCCAUACCUGGGACGAAUACACCGUCUGGAAACGCCUACCUCCACUGGAUCCAUGGACGCAACUUGCCAACCUCACGUCAAACAUCUGGAGUGAGAGUGCUGGAUGAAGUCGGACCAAAGGACUGUUUCCCUGUUCGUCAGCUAAGUCUUCAAGCCCUAGUAUCACCAGACUAUUUGUUUAAUAUUGUUAAAGACGUCGAAUUAUACAAUUAGCGUUCCGUGUUUGACUUCAGUUGUAUUUUAUGCUUUGCAUAAAAUAAUCUUUAGUCUGGGGUUUUGUUCAGGAUUAUCUGUAGUCUAGGCUGGGUUUAGUUUGUGUAUUUUUGAGUUGUUAUCCUGCCUUGGUGUUACCAUACGUGGGUUAACCGUAGAGUUCUGUUUUCAUAUUCAUGUAGUUAUACCUCCGUACCUCUAGUGGGUUUCUUGCUCCGUUAUCUCUGUAGUCAGUUUGUUUUCUGUUUCCGGGGUUUUAGUUCCGGUUCCUGUACGAAGUCUUAUUAUUGUAAAUAAAGCAUUGUUAAAAUGUUUA
Long non-coding RNA from Amphiprion ocellaris (clown anemonefish), 8706 nucleotides. RefSeq lists it as uncharacterized. NCBI's taxonomy places the organism in Eukaryota, Metazoa, Chordata, Actinopteri, Pomacentridae. The record is from RefSeq and is a predicted model, not a curated record. The transcript is spliced from 2 exons.